This 263-nucleotide ribosomal RNA is filed under the name uncultured archaeon. RNAcentral describes it as "partial 16S ribosomal RNA". It matches the Rfam family "Archaeal small subunit ribosomal RNA", at positions 718 to 982 of the family's 1478-position model. The record is from RNAcentral.
AGUCACUGACAUUAGAUACCCCCGUAGUCCCAGCCGUAACAAUGUGCGUUAGGUGUGUCGGUAACCACGUGUUACUGAUGCGCCGAAGAGAAAUCGUGAAACGCACCACCUGGGAAGUACGGUCGCAAGGCUGAAACUUAAAGGAAUUGGCGGGGAGCACCACAACAGGUGGAGCCUGCGGUUUAAUUGGAUUCAACGCCGGACAUCUCACCGGAUAAGACAGCUGAAUGAUUGUCAAUCUGAAGGUUUUACAUGACUAGCUG